RNAcentral lists this ribosomal RNA (433 nucleotides) under uncultured bacterium. RNAcentral's name for it is "partial 16S ribosomal RNA". It matches the Rfam family "Bacterial small subunit ribosomal RNA", at positions 29 to 507 of the family's 1533-position model. The record is from RNAcentral.
AACGAACGCUGGCGGCAUGCCUAACACAUGCAAGUCGAACGAGACCUUCGGGUCUAGUGGCGCACGGGUGCGUAACGCGUGGGAACCUGCCCUUAGGUUCGGAAUAACUCCCCGAAAGGGGUGUUAAUACCGGAUAAUGUCUUCGGACCAAAGAUUUAUCGCCUUUGGAUGGGCCCGCGUUGGAUUCGCUAGUUGGUAGGGUAAUAGCCUACCAAGGCGACGAUCCAUAGCUGGUCUGAGAGGAUGAUCAGCCACACUGGGACUGAGACACGGCCCAGACUCGUACGGGAGGCAGCAGUGGGGAAUAUUGGACAAUGGGCGAAGGCCUGAUCCAGCAAUGCCGCGUGAGUGAUGAAGGCCUUAGGGUUGUAAAGCUCUUUUACCCGGGAUGAUAAUGACGGUACCGGGAGAAUAAGCACCGGCUAACUCCGUG